This 66-nucleotide transfer RNA is filed under the name Mycterothrips gongshanensis. RNAcentral describes it as "tRNA-Glu". Lineage: Eukaryota; Metazoa; Arthropoda; Insecta; Thysanoptera; Thripidae. The record is from RNAcentral.
AUUUAUGUAGUUUACAAAAAUAUUAUAUUUUCAGUAUAAAGACAGUGUAUUAAACACUCUUAAAUA